Molecule: non-coding RNA, 26 nt
Filed under: Mus musculus (house mouse)
Lineage: Eukaryota; Metazoa; Chordata; Mammalia; Rodentia; Muridae
Source: RNAcentral
UACAAAGUAUCUGCACUGCAGGAGGG